GAAGUUAAAAGGGCAUUUUUUUACUGCAAGGCCUGUCAUGAUGACAUCACAGAUCCCAAAAGAAUAAAAAAAUGUGGCUGCAAACGGCUGAUAUAUUUUGAAGAUGAGCAGCCAUCAACACUAUCACCAAAAAAAAAGCAACGGAAUGGAGGCAUGCGGAACUCACCCAACACCUCGCCUAAGCUGAUGAGGCAUGACCCCUUGUUAAUUCCUGGCAAUGAUCAGAUUGACAACAUGGACUCCAAUGUGAAGAAGUACGACUCUACUGGGAUGUUUCACUGGUGUGCACCCAAGGAGAUAGAGAAAGUCAUCCUGACUCGAAGUGAAGCUGCCAUGACCGUCCUGAGUGGCCAUGUCGUGGUCUGCAUCUUUGGCGAUGUCAGCUCAGCCCUGAUCGGCCUCCGGAACCUGGUGAUGCCGCUCCGUGCCAGCAACUUUCAUUACCAUGAGCUCAAGCACAUUGUGUUUGUGGGCUCUAUUGAGUACCUCAAGCGGGAAUGGGAGACGCUUCAUAACUUCCCCAAAGUGUCCAUAUUGCCUGGUACGCCAUUAAGUCGGGCUGAUUUAAGGGCUGUCAACAUCAACCUCUGUGACAUGUGCGUUAUCCUGUCAGCCAAUCAGAAUAAUAUUGAUGAUACUUCGCUGCAGGACAAGGAAUGCAUCUUGGCGUCACUCAACAUCAAAUCUAUGCAGUUUGAUGACAGCAUUGGGGUCUUGCAGGCUAAUUCCCAAGGGUUCACACCUCCAGGAAUGGAUAGAUCCUCUCCAGAUAACAGCCCAGUGCACGGGAUGUUACGUCAACCAUCCAUCACAACUGGGGUCAACAUCCCCAUCAUCACUGAACUAGUGAACGAUACUAAUGUUCAGUUUUUGGACCAAGACGAUGAUGAUGACCCUGAUACAGAACUGUACCUCACGCAGCCCUUUGCCUGUGGGACAGCAUUUGCCGUCAGUGUCCUGGACUCACUCAUGAGCGCGAUUCUGCUGCCCCACAGCUCUGCUCCUGGAUGCCUGCAUGGAAAAAUCAAGGAGAGCCAUCUGCGAUGCAGUGCCAGCUCAGAGAGCAGACAAUUAUGCUCAGAGAUAUGAGUGGUCCCAGAGUUGUUCAGACACCUGUGAAACCCUGGGACUGACUAUGAAAUUGUACCUGUUGAUGAGCAAUUCUAAAAGUCAUGCACUCUUUGACUUUCACACAAUUUCAGGCUAAACCAAGGCCCAACGAUUAGUAGGUGCUCAAUAAAUGUCAGUGACUGAUCAAAAAGAUUUGGGUAUAACUGAUUUCAACACAGAAGUGGGAACAUGUUAGGGUCAAAUCCCAAAGAUUUGACAAAACAAUAACCUCCCAGCCUGACCUUCUAGAUUUAUCAUUGCAAUGGAUAACCUAUAGUGCCCUUUGUUUAAAAAAAAUUGACUGUGUUUUUAUUAGAACAGUUAUUCAUACUUCUUGAUGAAAAUUUGGAAAGCACAGAAACAUAUAAAAGAAGACAUAUAAAGAAGAAAC
This 1501-nucleotide small RNA is filed under the name Pan troglodytes (chimpanzee). Its description in RNAcentral is "processed transcript". Lineage: Eukaryota; Metazoa; Chordata; Mammalia; Primates; Hominidae. The record is from RNAcentral.